AGAUGAUGUUGGACUUCAACUCCUAUCAUUCCCAACUUCAACUGGGCCUGUGAGGCAGAUUUAGUCUCUUCAGGAGAUCCUGAGAUGCUGCUGCUCCCUGAUUUUAGUUAUGAUGACUGUAUUGAACCAAAAAAGAGACACUGAAGAGCUCCAGAAACUGGGUGAAUGGGCGGUAAAAUGGCAAAUGAAAUUCAGUGAAAGUGAUGCAUGAAACCUUGGGCUCAUAGUAAGAUAGCUUGAUGAAGAUGUUGACCCAAUGUGCAGAAAAAGGCAAUUUCCACGCUAGGUUUCAGACGGUUUUUUGUUUUACAAUCAAGCAGUGUAUAAAUUUUAUGAAGUGAAAUGAAAUGAAAUAAAUAAAAUAAAAUAAACCCA
Long non-coding RNA from Podarcis raffonei (Aeolian wall lizard), 375 nucleotides. RefSeq lists it as uncharacterized. The transcript has 2 exons. Lineage: Eukaryota; Metazoa; Chordata; Lepidosauria; Squamata; Lacertidae. The record is from RefSeq and is a predicted model, not a curated record.